UUUCCGUAGGUGAACCUGCGGAAGGAUCAUUAGCGAAGCUCGGAAUGCGUGUUCGGUGCUGAUGCUGCCCAGCAAUGGGAUGUGCUCGCUCGGAUGCGUGUCCCUUCUCUAUUCCACCCCUUUGUGAACCAAGCGUGCGAGCCGAAGAGAGAUCGGAGGCUUGCAUGCAACCCUUUAACAUACCCCAACGAAGUAUCAGAAUGUACCUUGCGUUAACUCGCACAAAUAUAACUUUCAACAACGGAUCUCUUGGCUCUCGCAUCGAUGAAGAACGCAGC
Molecule: unclassified non-coding RNA, 278 nt
Filed under: uncultured fungus
Lineage: Eukaryota; Fungi
Description: sequence contains ITS1, 5.8S rRNA gene
Rfam family: 5.8S ribosomal RNA (bases 230-278)
Source: RNAcentral